RNAcentral lists this ribosomal RNA (242 nucleotides) under uncultured bacterium. RNAcentral's name for it is "partial 16S ribosomal RNA". It matches the Rfam family "Bacterial small subunit ribosomal RNA", at positions 8 to 245 of the family's 1533-position model. The record is from RNAcentral.
AGAGUUUGAUCCUGGCUCAGGAUGAACGCUGGCGGCGUGCAUAACACAUUCAAGUCGAACGGGACAAUGGGGGCUUGCCUCCAUUGUCUAGUGGCGGACGGGUGAGUAACGCGUGAGCAACCCUGCCUAUGCGAGGGGGAUAACACAGGGAAACUUGUGCUAAUACCGCAUAACAUAUACUUUUUGCAUGGAAGGUAUAUCAAAGAAAAAAUCGCGCAUAGAUGGGCUCGCGUCUGAUUAGA